AUUGAACGCUGGCGGCGUGCUUAACACAUGCAAGUCGAUCGGUAACGCGGGGCAACCUGGCGACGAGAGGCGGACGGGUGAGUAACGCUUGGGAAUCUGCCUAUUAGUGGGGGACAACCCGGGGAAACUCGGGCUAAUACCGCAUACGCUCCACGGAGGAAAGCAGGGGAUCGCAAGACCUUGCGCUAAUAGAUGAGCCCAAGUCGGAUUAGCUAGUUGGUAGGGUAACGGCCUACCAAGGCGACGAUCCGUAGCUGGUCUGAGAGGACGACCAGACACACUGGGACUGAGACACGGCCCAGACUCCUACGGGAGGCAGCAGUGGGGAAUAUUGGACAAUGGGGGAAACCCUGAUCCAGCGACGCCGCGUGGGUGAAGAAGGCCUGCGGGUUGUAAAGCCCUUUCGGUAGGGAAGAAAAGCCUCGACCUAACACGUCGGGGUAUUGACGUAACCUACAAAAGAAGCACCGGCUAACUCUGUGCCAGCAGCCGCGGUAA
RNAcentral lists this ribosomal RNA (498 nucleotides) under uncultured bacterium. Its description in RNAcentral is "partial 16S ribosomal RNA". It matches the Rfam family "Bacterial small subunit ribosomal RNA", at positions 29 to 523 of the family's 1533-position model. The record is from RNAcentral.